RNAcentral lists this transfer RNA (72 nucleotides) under Fejervarya limnocharis (Boie's wart frog). RNAcentral describes it as "tRNA-Thr". It matches the Rfam family "tRNA". From Rfam's summary of the family: Transfer RNA (tRNA) molecules are approximately 80 nucleotides in length. The record is from RNAcentral. Lineage: Eukaryota; Metazoa; Chordata; Amphibia; Anura; Dicroglossidae. RNAcentral also lists the same sequence under 1 other name.
GCUCUGGUAGCUUAAUUCUCAAAGCACUGGUCUUGUAAACCAGAGAGUGCAGACUAAACUCUGCUCAGAGCU